CUCAAUUUCUUUCUCUUUCCUCCAUUGAUCACGAUUAGAGAAACCUUCCAAGCUUUCCUAAAAUCACUUCUAUGCAAUAAUCCUUCACUAAAUCAAGCCCUAAACACUUUCUAUACUUGAUUCAAAGAGAUUAGUAGAGUUUUGAGCUUGAAGAUUAGAGAGAAGAAAUUCUACUUUUCUUAAAGUUCUUGAGCCCGAGCGAGACGAAGAAGUAAGUCGCCUGUUUUCUUUCCAAGCUUGAGCAAAGGACUUCAGGCUAAGCGAUGGAGCGAGAUUGGACUGGUGCUGGCGGGGAUUGUUUUGUUGAUGAAUUUUCUUUGCUGCUUUCCUUUUUUUGAUAGAGUCCUAACGAUGAUACACUUUGCUUUCCUUUUGAAUGUUGAUAAAACCUUAAUGAUGAGAUACAUUGUUUUCUUUUUAAUCAAGCAAUUUACUCGCGAUUAUAUGUCCUUAUACAUAUGAUCGAUUCACCUUUUGCUGCGAGACUCUGAAUUUUAUGAUACCUUAUGAAUAUUGAGCUA
Salvia miltiorrhiza (redroot sage) is the source of this 521-nucleotide long non-coding RNA. RefSeq lists it as uncharacterized. The record is from RefSeq and is a predicted model, not a curated record. The transcript has 3 exons. NCBI's taxonomy places the organism in Eukaryota, Viridiplantae, Streptophyta, Magnoliopsida, Lamiales, Lamiaceae.